This 497-nucleotide ribosomal RNA is filed under the name uncultured bacterium. Its description in RNAcentral is "partial 16S ribosomal RNA". It matches the Rfam family "Bacterial small subunit ribosomal RNA", at positions 28 to 507 of the family's 1533-position model. The record is from RNAcentral.
GAUGAACGCUGGCGGCGUGCCUAAUACAUGCAAGUCGAGCGAACAGACGAGGAGCUUGCUCCUCUGACGUUAGCGGCGGACGGGUGAGUAACACGUGGAUAACCUACCUAUAAGACUGGGAUAACUUCGGGAAACCGGAGCUAAUACCGGAUAAUAUAUUGAACCGCAUGGUUCAAUAGUGAAAGACGGUUUUGCUGUCACUUAUAGAUGGAUCCGCGCCGCAUUAGCUAGUUGGUAAGGUAACGGCUUACCAAGGCAACGAUGCGUAGCCGACCUGAGAGGGUGAUCGGCCACACUGGAACUGAGACACGGUCCAGACUCCUACGGGAGGCAGCAGUAGGGAAUCUUCCGCAAUGGGCGAAAGCCUGACGGAGCAACGCCGCGUGAACGAUGAAGGUCUUCGGAUCGUAAAACUCUGUUAUUAGGGAAGAACAAAUGUGUAAGUAACUAUGCACGUCUUGACGGUACCUAAUCAGAAAGCCACGGCUAACUACGUG